This 228-nucleotide ribosomal RNA is filed under the name uncultured bacterium. RNAcentral's name for it is "partial 16S ribosomal RNA". It matches the Rfam family "Bacterial small subunit ribosomal RNA", at positions 568 to 796 of the family's 1533-position model. The record is from RNAcentral.
UGCGUAGGCGGGCUAAUAAGUCAGUGGUGAAAUCUUUCGGCUCAACCGAGAAACUGCCAUUGAUACUGUUAGUCUUGAGUUCGGUUGAGGUAGGCGGAAUGUGUAAUGUAGCGGUGAAAUGCUUAGAUAUUACACAGAACACCAAUUGCGUAGGCAGCUUACUAGACCGACACUGACGCUGGGCACGAAAGCGUGGGGAGCGAACAGGAUUAGAUACCCUGGUAGUCC